RNAcentral lists this long non-coding RNA (228 nucleotides) under Salvia miltiorrhiza (redroot sage). RNAcentral describes it as "long non-coding RNA (SMIL_LNC008882)". Lineage: Eukaryota; Viridiplantae; Streptophyta; Magnoliopsida; Lamiales; Lamiaceae. The record is from RNAcentral.
GUGUGUGCUUUCUAUGUGGCUGUAGCUAUAGUGGGAUUUCCAGAUUGUGAGGUGAGAUAUAUGAAAACAAAUAGAUUCAAAUUAGGGUUGGAUACAGAUAGAGGUUGAUCAGCAUUGAACAAUAAUGGAACCGAUGAAGUAUAUUUUAUUGGGUUCACUUAAUCAAUGUUUUGAUCAAACGAACCAAAUAUACUACUCUAUACCCAGAACUGCAACCGAAUCGUUUAA